UACGUAGGGGGCUAGCGUUGUCCGGAAUCAUUGGGCGUAAAGCGCGCGUAGGCGGCCCGGUAAGUCCGCUGUAAAAGUCAAAGGCUCAACCUUUGAAUGUCAGUGGAUACUGCCGGGCUAGAGUCCGGAAGAGGCGAGUGGAAUUCCCAGUGUAGAGGUGGAAUGCGCAGAUAUCAGGAGGAACACCAAAGGCGAAGGCAGCUCGCUGGGACGGUACUGACGCUGAGGUGCGAAAGCGUGGGGAGCGAACAGG
RNAcentral lists this ribosomal RNA (253 nucleotides) under uncultured bacterium. RNAcentral describes it as "partial 16S ribosomal RNA". It matches the Rfam family "Bacterial small subunit ribosomal RNA", at positions 524 to 776 of the family's 1533-position model. The record is from RNAcentral.